Molecule: ribosomal RNA, 253 nt
Filed under: uncultured bacterium
Lineage: Bacteria
Description: partial 16S ribosomal RNA
Rfam family: Bacterial small subunit ribosomal RNA
Source: RNAcentral
UACGGAGGGUGCAAGCGUUAUCCGGAUUUACUGGGUUUAAAGGGUGCGCAGGCGGAUAUGUAAGUCAGUGGUGAAAUCUCUGGGCUUAACCCGGAAAUUGCCAUUGAUACUAUAUAUCUUGAAUGCUGUGGAGGUAAGCGGAAUAUGUCAUGUAGCGGUGAAAUGCUUAGAGAUGACAUAGAACACCUAUUGCGAAGGCAGCUUACUACGCAGAUAUUGGCGCUCAUGCACGAAAGCGUGGGGAUCAAACAGG